GAGUUUGAUCCUGGCUCAGCGCGAACGCUGACGGCGUGCCUAACACAUGCAAGUCGAGGGGCAGCAGGCUGAAUCCUUUGGGAUUUGGUGCUGGCGACCGGCGGACGGGUGAGUAACGCGUAGGCGACCUACCCCAUGGUCUGGGACAACUCUUCGAAAGGGGGGCUAAUACUGGAUAAGCUCACGGCAUUUGGAUGUUGUGAGAAAAGGUGGCCACUGGUUAUUUCCUUAUGGGGGUAAUCAAGCUACUGCCAUGGGAUGGGCCUGCGUCCUAUCAGCUAGUUGGUGGGGUAGUGGCCCACCAAGGCGACGACGGGUAGCCGGCCUGAGAGGGUGGUCGGCCACACUGGCACUGAGACACGGGCCAGACUCCUACGGGAGGCAGCAGUGGGGAAUAUUGGGCAAUGGGCGCAAGCCUGACCCAGCGACGCCGUGUGGGGGAAGAAGGCCUUCGGGUUGUAAACCCCUGUCGAGGGGGAAGAAUGGCUGUAUAGUUAACAGCUAUACAGUUUGACGGUACCUCUGGAGGAAGCCCCGGCUAACUACGUGCCAGCAGCCGCGGUAACACGUAGGGGGCGAGCGUUGCGCGGAAUUACUGGGCGUAAAGGGUGCGUAGGCGGCCUGGUAAGUCGGAGGUGAAAGCCCACGGCUCAACCGUGGAGGUGCUUUCGAUACUGCUGGGCUUGAGGCCAGGAGAGGCUGGCGGAAUUCCCGGUGUAGCGGUGAAAUGCGUAGAUAUCGGGAGGAACACCGGUGGCGUAGGCGGUCAGCUGGCCUGGCGCUGACGCUGAGGCACGAAAGCGUGGGGAGCGAACCGGAUUAGAUACCCGGGUAGUCCACGCUGUAAACGAUGGAUGCUAGGUGUCAGGGGCUAUAUGCUUUUGGUGCCGAAGCUAACGCGGUAAGCAUCCCGCCUGGGUAGUACGGCCGCAAGGCUGAAACUCAAAGGAAUUGACGGGGGCCCGCACAAGCGGUGGAGCAUGUGGUUUAAUUCGACGCAACGCGUAGAACCUUACCGGGGUUUGACAUGCGGGUGGUACUGACCUGAAAGGGGAGGGACCCUUACUUUUGGUGGGGGAGCCUGCACAGGUGCUGCAUGGCUGUCGUCAGCUCGUGCCGUGAGGUGUUCGGUUAAGUCCGGCAACGAGCGCAACCCCUGCCCUUAGUUGCCAGCGCGUUAAGGUGGGCACUCUAAGGGGACUGCCGGCGACAAGCCGGAGGAAGGUGGGGACGACGUCAAGUCAUCAUGGCCUUUAUGCCCCGGGCUACACACGUGCUACAAUGGCCGGGACAGAGGGUAGCGAAGCUGCGAAGUGGAGCCAAUCCCAAAAAUCCGGUCCCAGUUCGGAUUGCACUCUGCAACUCGAGUGCAUGAAGCGGGAAUCGCUAGUAAUCGCGGAUCAGCUACGCCGCGGUGAAUACGUUCCCGGGCCUUGUACACACCGCCCGUCACACCACGAAAGUUGGGUGUACCAGAAGUCGCUAACCCAACCCGCCGUUAAGGUGGGAGGGGGGCGCCCAAGGUAUGCUUAGCGAUUGGGGUGAAGUCGUAACAAGGUAACC
This 1563-nucleotide ribosomal RNA is filed under the name uncultured Thermodesulfobacterium sp. RNAcentral describes it as "16S ribosomal RNA". It matches the Rfam family "Bacterial small subunit ribosomal RNA". The record is from RNAcentral. Lineage: Bacteria; Pseudomonadati; Thermodesulfobacteriota; Thermodesulfobacteria; Thermodesulfobacteriales; Thermodesulfobacteriaceae.